CUCUGAUUCCUCCCUUUCUCCUCUGUCUCUCUCUUCCUCUGACUCCUCCCUUUCUCCUCUGUCUCACUCUUCCUCUGACUCCUCCCUUUCUCCUCUGUCUCUCUCUUUCUCCUCUGUCUCUGUCUUUCUCCUCAGAUCUCCAGGCUCAAAGCGUCAGUCCACCAGCUGAACUCUCAGUCAGACUGGUGAAUGGGACCACUUCCUGUUCUGGGACAGUGGAAUUCUUCUAUGAAGGAGAGUGGUUCGGUCUAUGUCCUACGUGGUGGAGCAUGAGAGAGGUUAAGGUUGUGUGUAGACAGCUGGACUGUGGGAAUCCUGUAGCUGUAUCUAGAGGACGUCUGAUUGAAGAGGGAAGAGGAGGAUUCAGACUGGGAAGAAGAGUCACACUAUUGAGAUGUGAUGGAGAUGAGUCUACUAUUAGACAUUGUGACAUCAUAAAAGUAAGACGUGGUGUCUGUGAUGGUGGAUAUUAUCAUCAUGUGACCUGUUCAGAGUCUGUGCGGCUUGUGGAUGGAGCUGGUCUCUGCUCUGGGAGAGUGGAGGUGAAGUCCAAUCAGUCCUGGGCCUCAGUGUGUGAAGCUGACUUUGACCGGCAGGAUGCAGAGGUAGUCUGUGGGGAGCUUGGCUGUGGGGCUCCUGCAGCUCUACAGGGGGGGCUCUAUGGAGGAGGUGAGGGUCAGACCUGGGAUAAAGAGUUCCAGUGUAAAGGCAAAGAGUCCCUUCUCCUGGAAUGUGACACCUCAGACAGAAAACACAACACCUGCCUACCUGGUAAUGCUGUUGGACUCACCUGCUCAGGUAAGAAACAGUUUGUCACUCAAUCAACAUUGUUUCUCACCUGGAGUGAAGAAUAUGAGAGACAAUAUAGGUGUGUUUUAGUGAGAAAAUAGUAAGAUUACUGUCUCUCUCUUUUCUUUUCUCAGAGCCUGAUGAUGUGAGGCUGGUGGGAGGAGGCAGUCGCUGUGCUGGUGGAGUGGAGCGGUACGACCAGGGAGAGUGGAGGAUUGUGGGAACUGACUGGAACAUGAAGGCUAUAGCUGCAGUAGUGUGUAGACAGCUGGGUUGUGGCUCCACUGUUUCAGUACUUCCUGGAAACAACACUAGAGGGUUUGGAGUUGACUGUUCUGGGUCUCAGUCUUCACUGAGGGAGUGUUACAGAAGCUAUGAUCUCCUUCCUGAACUCACAGUGAUCUGCUCAGGUAA
Salvelinus fontinalis (brook trout) is the source of this 1203-nucleotide long non-coding RNA. RefSeq lists it as uncharacterized. The transcript is spliced from 3 exons. The record is from RefSeq and is a predicted model, not a curated record. NCBI's taxonomy places the organism in Eukaryota, Metazoa, Chordata, Actinopteri, Salmoniformes, Salmonidae.